RNAcentral lists this ribosomal RNA (1524 nucleotides) under Triticum aestivum (bread wheat). RNAcentral describes it as "partial small subunit ribosomal RNA". Lineage: Eukaryota; Viridiplantae; Streptophyta; Magnoliopsida; Poales; Poaceae. The record is from RNAcentral.
AUGGGAGCCGGAAUUACCGCCGGCGCCACCGCCCGCCUCGUCGUCGUUCCGCUCCUGCUGCUACCCCUACUCCUCGCGCGCGGCGCCGAGGCUGUCAGCCUCUGGCGGCCGCCGCCGGAGGCCGGGCUCCUGGGCUCCGCCCCAGGCAGGUUCCUGACGCAGGAGGAGCACUGGAUGAGCCAAACCCUCGACCACUUCUCCCCCACCGAUCAUCGGCAAUUCAAGCAGCGGUACUACGAAUUUCUCGAUUACCACCGAGCUCCAAAUGGCCCGGUCUUCUUAAAUAUAUGUGGAGAAGCUUCAUGCAGUGGGAUUUCUAACAACUACUUAGCUGUGAUGGCCAAGAAGUUUGGCGCUGCUUUGGUUUCUCCCGAGCAUCGAUACUAUGGGAAGAGUUCCCCUUUUGAGGAUUUGACGACAGAAAAUCUAAGGUUCUUGUCAUCAAAGCAGGCUUUAUCAGACCUGGCUGUUUUCCGCCAGUAUUAUCAGGAAACAUUAAAUGCCAAGUAUAAUCGCUCAGGAGCAGACAAUUCUUGGUUUGUGUUUGGAGGGUCGUACUCUGGAGCUCUCAGUGCUUGGUUCAGAUUGAAAUUUCCUCACUUAACAUGUGGAAGUCUUGCAAGUUCAGGGGUUGUUCUUGCUGUUUACAACUUUACUGACUUCGACAAACAGAUUGGGGAGUCAGCUGGUCCAGAAUGCAAAGGAGCACUUCAAGAAGUAACAAGACUUGUUGAUGGACAACUUCAGUCUGGCCACAACUCGGUUAAAGAACUGUUUGGAGCAAAAAUGUUAGAAAAUGAUGGUGACUUCCUUUACCUACUAGCAGACGCUGCAGCUAUUGCGUUCCAAUAUGGCAACCCUGAUGUUUUGUGCUCCCCACUAGUUGAAGCAAAGAAGAAUGGUACGGAUUUGGUGGAAGCAUUUGCUCAUUACGUGAACGACUAUUAUGUUGGGACAUUUAGGGCACCAGUUGCAUCAUAUGAUCAGAACUAUUUGAAGAACACAACCCCUGCUGAAUCUUCAUAUCGAUUGUGGUGGUAUCAAGUUUGCAGUGAGGUUGCAUAUUUCCAAGUGGCGCCAAAAAAUGAUAGCGUCCGUUCUGCAAAGAUUGAUACAAGGUAUCAUUUAGACUUGUGCAAAAAUGUUUUUGGGGAAGGAGUUUAUCCUGAUGUGUCCAUGACAAACUUAUACUAUGGAGGCACAAGAAUUGCAGGUUCUAAAAUUGUUUUUGCAAAUGGCUCUCAAGACCCAUGGCGCCAUGCUUCCAAGCAGAAAUCAUCGGAAGAACUGCCAUCAUACUUAAUUGAGUGCAGCAACUGUGGGCAUUGCACUGAUAUCUCCGGAUGCCCUCAAGCACCCUCAAAUAUUGGAGGUGAUUCAUCCAAAUGCUCAUCUCCAGAAGCAGUGAACAAAGUAAGGAAGCAGAUCGUCGAUCACAUCGACCUGUGGUUGUCAGAGUGCCAAGACCAAGGACACGGCGCGGUGACGAAGCGGGGGAGCAGAUGGAGCAUAGCCACCUACUGA